Molecule: ribosomal RNA, 440 nt
Filed under: uncultured bacterium
Lineage: Bacteria
Description: bacterial SSU rRNA
Rfam family: Bacterial small subunit ribosomal RNA
Source: RNAcentral
UGGGGAAUUUUCGUCAAUGGGGGAAGCCCUGAACGAGCAAUGCCGCGUGUGUGAAGAAGGUCUUCGGAUCGUAAAGCACUGUUGUAAGUGAAGAAUGCCAUAUAGAGGAAAUGCUAUGUGGGUGACGGUAGCUUACCAGAAAGCCACGGCUAACUACGUGCCAGCAGCCGCGGUAAUACGUAGGUGGCAAGCGUUAUCCGGAAUCAUUGGGCGUAAAGGGUGCGUAGGUGGCACGAUAAGUCUGAAGUAAAAGGCAAACAGCUCAACUGUUGUAUGCUUUGGAAACUGUCGAGCUAGAGUGCAGAAGAGGGCGAUGGAAUUCCAUGUGUAGCGGUAAAAAUGCGUAGAUAUAUGGAGGAACACCAGUGGCGAAGGCGGUCGCCUGGUCUGUAACUGACACUGAUGCACGAAAGCGUGGGGAGCAAAUAGGAUUAGAUACC